GUAGGGUAACCUGCCCAAGAGAUCGGGAUAACACCUGGAAACAGAUGCUAAUACCGGAUAACAACAGAUGAUGCCUAUCAACUGUUUAAAAGAUGGUUCUGCUAUCACUCUUGGAUGGACCUGCGGUGCAUUAGCUAGUUGGUAGGGUAACGGCCUACCAAGGCGAUGAUGUAUAGCCGAGUUGAGAGACUGAUCGGCCACAUUGGGACUGAGACACGGCCCAAACUCCUACGGGAGGCAGCAGCC
This 246-nucleotide ribosomal RNA is filed under the name uncultured Lactobacillus sp. RNAcentral describes it as "partial 16S ribosomal RNA". It matches the Rfam family "Bacterial small subunit ribosomal RNA", at positions 117 to 355 of the family's 1533-position model. Lineage: Bacteria; Bacillati; Bacillota; Bacilli; Lactobacillales; Lactobacillaceae. The record is from RNAcentral.